GAUGAACGCUAGCGGCAGGCCUAACACAUGCAAGUCGAGGGAGAGGUUACCUUCGGGUAACCAAAACCGGCGCACGGGUGCGUAACGCGUAUACAAUCUGCCUUUCACAUAGGGAUAGCCCGAAGAAAUUUGGAUUAAUACCUAAUGGUAUAUAAGAGCGGCAUCGUUUUUAUAUUAAAGCUACGGUGGUGAAAGAUGAGUAUGCGUUCUAUUAGCUAGUUGGAGAGGUAACGGCUCCCCAAGGCGACGAUAGAUAGGGGUUCUGAGAGGGAUGUCCCCCACACUGGUACGGAGAUACGGACCAGACUCCUACGGGAGGCAGCAGUGAGGAAUAUUGGACAAUGGUCGGAAGACUGAUCCAGCCAUGCCGCGUGCAGGAUGAAGGUCCUAUGGAUUGUAAACUGCUUUUGUAAGGGAAGAAUAAGGAGUACGUGUACUUUGAUGACGGUACCUUACGAAUAAGCAUCGGCUAACUCCGUG
This 480-nucleotide ribosomal RNA is filed under the name uncultured bacterium. RNAcentral describes it as "partial 16S ribosomal RNA". It matches the Rfam family "Bacterial small subunit ribosomal RNA", at positions 28 to 507 of the family's 1533-position model. The record is from RNAcentral.